CUGGCUCAGGACGAACGCUGGCGGCGUGCCUAAUACAUGCAAGUCGAGCGGACUUGAUGGAGUGCUUGCACUCCUGAGAGUUAGCGGCGGACGGGUGAGUAACACGUAGGCAACCUGCCCUCAAGACUGGGAUAACUACCGGAAACGGUAGCUAAUACCGGAUAAUUUAUUNCAUAGCAUUAUGUNAUAAUGAAAGACGGAGCAAUCUGUCACUUGGGGAUGGGCCUGCGGCGCAUUAGCUAGUUGGUGGGGUAACGGCCCACCAAGGCGACGAUGCGUAGCCGACCUGAGAGGGUGAACGGCCACACUGGGACUGAGACACGGCCCAGACUCCUACGGGAGGCAGCAGUAGGGAAUCUUCCGCAAUGGGCGAAAGCCUGACGGAGCAACGCCGCGUGAGUGAUGAAGGUUUUCGGAUCGUAAAGCUCUGUUG
Molecule: ribosomal RNA, 433 nt
Filed under: Paenibacillus glucanolyticus
Lineage: Bacteria; Bacillati; Bacillota; Bacilli; Caryophanales; Paenibacillaceae
Description: bacterial SSU rRNA
Rfam family: Bacterial small subunit ribosomal RNA
Source: RNAcentral